Molecule: non-coding RNA, 2651 nt
Organism: Vicugna pacos (alpaca)
Lineage: Eukaryota; Metazoa; Chordata; Mammalia; Artiodactyla; Camelidae
Source: RefSeq, a predicted model, not a curated record
UGAACAUUCCAGUUAUUUCUAGCUUGGGGAUGUCGAUAAUGAAGCUGCUGGGGGAGCAUUCUUGUGCAUACACAUAGGGAGCAUGAGAAUUUGCUCAGCCUGCCUAGUUGAUGUCAAACAACUUAAUUUGAACACAUCUUGAAUCAAGUCCUAGGUUUAAUUGCAAAAUGAGCAAGCUUUGUUACUUGUUCCUUCAGGAAACACAAACCAAACUUCUAUGGUGGGAAUAGAAAAUAUGUGACACAGGCUGCCUCUCCUACCUCCUGUGCUCAGGGCAGACAUUACUAGUUCAUAAGGAUAUCCUUUCCUGUUAAGUCUGGGUGUGGCUUCAAAUUGUUUGCAACACGGUCCUCAAGGCAGCCACUGCUAAGGAUCAGAGAUGAGGGGGGCGUGAUGGUUAAUUUUCUGUGUCAGCUUGGUUAGGCCACAGUACCAGAUAUUUGGUCAAACAUAUUCAAGACAUUUCUCUGAAGGCAUUAUUUUAUUUGAGAUUAACAGUUAAAUCAGUAGACUUUAGUCAAGUGAAUAACCCUUCAUAAUGUGGAUGGGUGUCCACUAAUGAGUCGAAGACCUUAAUAGAAAAAAGACUGAAAAGAAAGAGGGAAUUCUGCCACCAGGCUGCCUUUGAACUCAAACUGCACGUCUUCCCUGGGUCUCCAGCCUAUGACCUACUCCCCCUGCAGAUUUUGGAAUUGCCAGCCUCCACAAUCCUGUCAGCCAAUUCCUUACCAUCUCUCUCUAUGUAUAGACACACAUCUUUUGGGCUCUCUCUGGAUAACACUUGACUAAUAACAGGUGGCAUACUAUUUGCAUAGGACUGUCUGGCGACGCAAGAACAGAGAGCCUCUUGAGCUAAUUUAAGGAAAAGAGAUUUUCUGUUGAUAGAGUGGAACCUCUUAGAAUCAAAUCCAGAAAGUACUUUUAAUAUUCAGUACUAUCCUCCUCAAUACCAAUCCAUUAUAAUGCUUUUAUAGCUGAGAUAUUUUCCAAAAUAAAACUGCGGUGGGUGUGCAUACAGUUUCUCCCCAGUUUCUGAGGGUCAUCAGUUGCUGUCAGCCGAUGAGAUCCAGAGCAAAGAAGCUACUCUGUUCUUAACACACAGUACUGGGCUGCUUCCAGCCAGUGAGCUGAGUUGAAUGUGUUUUGCCGUGUAUGUUGUUUAUUCUGCUCUGGUUCCCUUUCUGCCAUUGCUUUUGUGUCCUGGAAGUCAGUAUGACCCAGCUUGAUUGACCAAAGGAGCAUAGGUGAUAAUACUGGACCGACUGUAAAUCAAAGGCAGAGUAUCGUGCUGGAUGUUAGAAUACGGGUUUUCCAGAGGCUCUCGAUCCUCCAAGGCAUUGGCUCUAGCAGAGGGUCUAGCUUAGCGGGCCAGCGGGGAUCGGUGGGAGUCCUCUGACGUUGUGUAGGGCCUCAUACAGGCCAGUGCCGCUCAGAAGGAUUGACCAACAGGAGCCGGAAGAAAUUAUGGUGGGAGAAUGGAUGAGUGAUUGCCAGUGUGCAAACCUGGGUCAUGUCUCUAUGAGGACUGUGCCAGUGUGGGCUCCUACAGUCUGCUACUAAAGAGAGUGGGUGUGACGGCCAGGCCUCUGCUCCGUGUCUCUGUCUGUGACUGUGCUCUGCUUCUCUGCCACAUUCUCCCCACUGCAGGUCAGCCCCUCUGCCAGGUGCAUGCUCCCUGCAGCCCCAUCACUCAGGCUCUGUUUGGCUUUGGGUGACUGUAGGAGGUGGUGUGGAUGUCCUGCCCAGAUUCCCGGGCCCACCUUGGAGUUCACAUGUGAUGGUGGAAGAUGACCUCCCAGAGACUGAUGACUCCCCACCUGAAGCAUCCACAUCUCUGCACUUCUCCUGCACCAGUGGGCUUGCCAGGCAGCAGGCAUGUGCAGUCCCACCCAGUGGAGGAUUGGUGAUCUUCCUGACGGUCAAAGCUCCAUCAGCCUGAACCCCUGAGAGAAAAGGGUGGAAGAGAAGCUUCCCUUGCCUGGUUUCUGAAUGUGGCCUUGAAAAUGUCCACAGAACUAUUGUUGUCUUGUUGAGUCUGCGGCCAGGAAGGCAGGAAUCACUGCGGCAGAGCAGGUGUGAACGUCCGCCUACUUCAGAGGCAGCUCUCUUUGAAGCUGGAAAAUCAAGGACGCUGGUACCUUCAAGGAAACAAGGAUAUAAUUAUCGCAACACCCAAUUGGCCAGUGACCUUCCAUUCCUCAGGCCGGCCCUACUCCCUUCGCUGGCACCAGCCCAGGUCCUCACAGACUGAGCUCAGACGGAGGAGCGACCCGCUCCCGCGCCCUUUGAAAGCGUUCUUAAUCUCUUUCCACUGCGCGGGUCUUGCUGACAUAAAUCCGCCAGCCCAGGGGGCCUUUGAGCCCCCCACCGAGGGAGGCCCUUCAGGCCAAGUGGAGUCUGGGCAGCUAAGGCGCAGAAUUUAUGCUUCCUCUCACCUGCACCGUCUGUCUGUGGCCUCUACCCCAGUCUGUUUGUGAAGGUUUGAACAUGACCUCCUAGCUCCCCGCCAAAUCAGCCGGCAUCAUCACCUUGGCCACAGAGGCCGACUUCUCAAGGCCACUGGAAGCUAAUAACAGGGACUCUCAACUUCGUUAUUGUAUUUGAAAUGUUGAAAGCAGAAGCCUAAUAAAAUUAGUUCAGAAAAACAGAAA